UCCCUGGUGGCUCAGUGGUAAAGAAUCUGCCUGCCAAUGCAGGAGACACAGGUUUGAUUCCUGGUCAGGGAA
Molecule: transfer RNA, 72 nt
Filed under: Capra hircus (goat)
Lineage: Eukaryota; Metazoa; Chordata; Mammalia; Artiodactyla; Bovidae
Also listed under: 2 other names
Rfam family: tRNA
About the family: Transfer RNA (tRNA) molecules are approximately 80 nucleotides in length.
Source: Rfam by way of RNAcentral